Molecule: transfer RNA, 94 nt
Filed under: Micrococcus luteus
Lineage: Bacteria; Bacillati; Actinomycetota; Actinomycetes; Micrococcales; Micrococcaceae
Description: tRNA-Gly(gcc)
Source: RNAcentral
CGGCUGCGUGGACGACUCGGCGGUGCUCGCCCGCGCCGCCGGCGCGCGGGUGGUGCGCGAGCCGCGCCGCGGGGUCCCGGCCGCGGCGGCCGCC